Molecule: long non-coding RNA, 477 nt
Filed under: Homo sapiens (human)
Lineage: Eukaryota; Metazoa; Chordata; Mammalia; Primates; Hominidae
Description: HSALNT0324612
Source: RNAcentral
UCGCCGGGUCAGCUUCCCCGGCCCAGUGCCCAGCGGGAUGAAGACGCCGGGCCCCGGGCAUCCCCAGGUUUGGAAUUAGGAUUAGGCGUUGGAGUUAACCGGACUCCGCGGAGUUCCGGGGACCCGGAGACAGCAUGAGUCUCAGCGCGCAGUCAGCAGAGGCGGUCCUGGCGCCAGGGACCCUGAUGUCUGAGGAAGAAGGUUCACAUCCAACUCUGCCCCUGGUGUGUCACGUGCCGGCCUUGUCAACGCACACGAGAACCUGACAGGGUCCCAUGGAAUUCAGACAAGGAAGUAAAGCAAAUGAGAAUGGCCCACAGGGGAGCAGUUCAAAUGCGCAGAAAAAGAUAGAGCAGCCCCAAUGAGGAAGGAAGGCUGGACAAGAAAUGGAUUUGUAGGGAAGACAAUGUGCACCCAUCGGAGCUCUGAUUGCUUUACUUUCACUACCCUCCCCUGCCCACUAACAUCGAAAAAGUA